CCUGCCCCUAGAGGCGUUGCAGGUGUGGCUGCUGUGUCACAGGUGCGACAGGGGGUGGCAGAGAGGAGAGUGCUUAUGUCUGUGCUCAGUCUUCUGACCUCUGAGCAUCUGAAAUGAUUAGUAACCUCGCACU
This is a small nucleolar RNA of Acomys russatus (golden spiny mouse), 133 nucleotides long. RefSeq annotates it as small nucleolar RNA SNORA17. Lineage: Eukaryota; Metazoa; Chordata; Mammalia; Rodentia; Muridae. The transcript has a single exon. The record is from RefSeq and is a predicted model, not a curated record.